UGGGUGCAGUGGCUCAUGCCUGUAUUCCCAGCACUUUGGGAGGCCAAGGCAAAUGGAUCACGACGUCAGGAGAUCAAGACCAUCUGGCCAACAUGCUGAAACCCCAUCUCUACUAAAUAUACAAAAAUUAGCUGGGCGUGGAGGCGCACGCCUGUAAUCCCAGCUACUGUAAUCCCAGCUACUUGGGAGGCUGAGGCAGGAGAAUUGCCUCAAUUCGCGGUGGAGGUUGCAGUGAGCCGAGGUUGCACCACUGCAGUCCAGCCUGGCGACAGAGCAAGACUCCGUCUCAAAAAAAAAAAAGAAAAAAAAAAACUUUAGGCUGGGUGUGGUGGCUCACGCCUGUAAUCCCAGCACUUUGGGAGGCUGAGGCGGGUGGCUCUCUUGAAGUCAGGAGUUUGAGACCAGCCUGGCCAACACGGUGAAACCGUCUUUACUAAAAAUACAAAAAUUAGUCAGGCAUGGUGGCGCACGUGUGCCAGUAAUCCCAGCUACUUGGGAGGCUGAGGCAUGAGAAUCGCUUGAACCCUGGAGAUGGAGGUUGCAGUGAGCAGAGAUCGCACCACUGCACUCCAGCCUGGGCAAGAGUGAGACUAUGUCUCAAAAAAAAAAAAAAAAAAAAAAAAAAAAAUUAAAAUGUUGCUGGUAUUACAUCAAACCUACUCUGGAUAAAUUUUCCAGUAGGGCAUGUGAAAUUGCUUUGGCAAAACCAAAACAGGUUAUCAAUACACCAAGGACAUUAGUAGUUUUAAUGCAACUACAGUAUUGAGUACUUUUUUAAUGGGAGAAAAAUUCUAGCAGAACCUGCUACUCCAGGCGCAUUAGGUAGUUUUAGGUAACUGUAGUAUUAAAGAAGAGUUUUAUUGGAAGAAAAACCACUGUCAGAGCUUGCUGCUCCAGACCACUCUUUUUUUUUUUUUUUUUUAAAUAGAAGAGACUGGUAAAAAUGAUGCAGGGGCUGAAUGAAAGCCAGCUCUGCUCCAGUGGUUUUCUGAGUUGAGCAUGCAUCAGUUACCUGAAAGGCUUGUUAAAACAUCGCUAGGCUCCACCCUGUCUAUUCAAUAAGUUUGUUGUGGGACAUAAGAAGUUGCAUUUUAUUAAGUUCCCCGGUGAUGCUGCUGUUCUACUAUAGGAACCACACUUGAAGAACUAGUUCUACAAUUCAGCUCUAUGUUGUUGCUAAAAUAAAAUAAAAUAAAAAGUCAACGAAGAUUUACAAAGAGCUGCUGAAAAAUGGAGUAACAGUGUAUGGGACUUCAUAUCAGUUCUCUUUAUUGUGAUUGUUAGUUUGAUCCCUCUUGUUCUUUUGUUGUAAACAUUUUCUAUAAUUAGGAAAUGCCAUUUAAGAGUGAGAGACGUAUAUAUCUGUGAGCCAUUGUGUUUGGUGUUUUACAAGAACUUUACCAUACUUGUGUGUAUUCCAUUCUGUACAGUUUAAAAAUGAUUCACGAUUUGCAGGCUUUUUAUCAGAUCACAAAAAAAAUCAGCCUUAAGCAUUUGCUUGGUAAGAUUUCUUAAGAUUAGGUUUAUAAUACAACCAUCUAUAAUGUAUCUCUUGUUUGAGCUUGUGGGCCAUACAGUUCAUUAACUAGAUGAAUACAUUGUGGACAGCAUCCUCGCUACCCUUCUCUAAUCACAAAGAACCACGAUGCACUGGAAUGUUUUUCUCUGGAAUCCUCUUUCUACUCUUGUAUUAAAAAUUUUCCCCACUUAAUGAUUAUGUUCAAAAUAAACUACAUCAUUACUU
This 1744-nucleotide long non-coding RNA is filed under the name Macaca fascicularis (crab-eating macaque). RNAcentral's name for it is "lncRNA (ENSMFAG00000051681.1)". Lineage: Eukaryota; Metazoa; Chordata; Mammalia; Primates; Cercopithecidae. The record is from RNAcentral.